CUGCGGACACUACUAGCUUUCC
RNAcentral lists this non-coding RNA (22 nucleotides) under Arabidopsis thaliana (thale cress). Lineage: Eukaryota; Viridiplantae; Streptophyta; Magnoliopsida; Brassicales; Brassicaceae. The record is from RNAcentral.